RNAcentral lists this long non-coding RNA (393 nucleotides) under Paramuricea clavata. The record is from RNAcentral. Lineage: Eukaryota; Metazoa; Cnidaria; Anthozoa; Malacalcyonacea; Plexauridae.
CUGUGCUAUGUUAACAUCUAGCCUUGUGAAUGGUGUUUUAUACUUGCAUCUCUCAUCAUCAUCUGCUCUGUCCUCAUAAUUAUGAAAAAUGAACUGUUAUGCACCCCCCUCCCCUCCUUGCUUGUUAGAGAAGUAAACUGAUGAGAGCACUGGAUGAGGGUCUAUCAUCUAUGGUCUGUUAUAAUUUGCUUUUUAUGCAAAUAGUGAGCAAAAAUUAAAGCAAAACUGUACAAGUUACAUAUAUAGUACUAUAUCAGUACUAUACACGAACUUUUAUCGAUGGAUAAUUUUGCGAGUUUUCAUCCAAUUCAAUCAUAUGUAUGCUCAAAAUCUUCGCGGUAAGUUUCUCUUUACCAUAAAAUUUGACCGAAUAAGUUUCAAAACAAUGCGACG